This 857-nucleotide ribosomal RNA is filed under the name Trigonidiinae sp. DPM-2011. RNAcentral describes it as "SSU rRNA". It matches the Rfam family "Eukaryotic small subunit ribosomal RNA", at positions 917 to 1774 of the family's 1831-position model. Lineage: Eukaryota; Metazoa; Arthropoda; Insecta; Orthoptera; Trigonidiidae. The record is from RNAcentral.
UUCUUGGAUCGUCGCAAGACGAACUGCAGCGAAAGCGUUUGCCAAGUAUGUUUUCUUUAAUCAAGAACGAAAGUUAGAGGUUCGAAGGCGAUCAGAUACCGCCCUAGUUCUAACCAUAAACUAUGCCAUCUAGCGAUCCGCUGUGUGUCUUAGAUGUCACGGCGGGCAGCCCUCGGGAAACCAAAGAUUUUGGGUUCCGGGGGAAGUAUGGUUGCAAAGCUGAAACUUAAAGGAAUUGACGGAAGGGCACCACCAGCAGUGGAGCCUGCGGCUUAAUUUGACUCAACGCGGGGUAUCCUACUAGGCCCGGACACUCGAAGGAUUGACAGAUUGAGAGCUCUUUCUUGAUUGGGUGCGUGGUGGUGCAUGGCCGUUCUUCGUUGGUGAGGUGACUUGUCUGCUUAAUUGCGAUAACGAACGAGACUCUAGCCUGCUAACUAGUCGAUUCUGGCAUCCGUUGUGCAGCCGGCGACUAUCCAUCUUCUUAGAGGGACAGGUGGUGUAUAGCCACACGAGAAUGAGCAAUAACAGGUCUGUGAUGCCCUUAGAUGUCCUGGGCCGCACGCGCGCUACACUGAAGGGAUCAGCGUGUGUUUUCCUAGUCCGACAGGACCGGGUAACCCGUUGAACCUCCUUCGUGCUAGGGAUUGGGGCUUGAAAUUAUUCCCCACGAACGAGGAAUUCCUAGUAAGCGCGAGUCAUAACCUCGCGUUGAUUAUGUCCCUGCCCUUUGUCCACACCGCCCGUCGCUACUACCGAUUGAAUGAUUUAGUGAGGUCUUCGGACUAGUGCGCGGUUUUCGGAAAAUUUUUUUCGGAAACCGAUGCUACCAGAAAGAUGACCGAACUUGAUUAUUU